This 196-nucleotide unclassified non-coding RNA is filed under the name Fomitopsis serialis. Its description in RNAcentral is "Antrodia serialis partial internal transcribed spacer 2". Lineage: Eukaryota; Fungi; Basidiomycota; Agaricomycetes; Polyporales; Fomitopsidaceae. The record is from RNAcentral.
AAUUCUCAACUUCAUUUGCUUUUGUGAAUGAAGCUUGGACUUGGAGGUAUUGCUGGCCGUACGGUCGGCUCCUCUUGAAUUUAUUAGCUCGAGCCUUUGUGGAUCAGCUUCGGUGUGAUAAUUGUCUACGCCGUUCUGUGAAGCAUAACUAUGGGACUCGGCUUCCAAUAGUCCUUCACUGGACAAUAUCUUUGAC